Molecule: transfer RNA, 67 nt
Filed under: Ptiliidae sp. BMNH 1274726
Lineage: Eukaryota; Metazoa; Arthropoda; Insecta; Coleoptera; Ptiliidae
Description: tRNA-Pro
Source: RNAcentral
CAGAAGAUAGUUUAAUUAAAAUAUUAAUUUUGGAGAUUAAAGCUGAGAUUUUCUUUCUUUCUUCUGA